UACAGAGGGAUGCUACCGGGCGACCGGAUGCGGAUCUCGAAAGCCUGUCCCAGUUCGGACUGGAGUCUGCAACCCGACUCCACGAAGUUGGAAUCGCUAGUAAUCGCGCAUCAGCCACGGCGCGGUGAAUACGUUCCCGGGCCUUGUACACACCGCCCGUCAAGCCAUGGAAGCCGGGAGUGCCUGAAGUGCGUGAGCGCAAGCAGCGCCCUAAGGUAAAACCGGUGACUGGGGCUAAGUCGUAACAAGGUAUC
This 254-nucleotide ribosomal RNA is filed under the name uncultured bacterium. RNAcentral's name for it is "partial 16S ribosomal RNA". It matches the Rfam family "Bacterial small subunit ribosomal RNA", at positions 1238 to 1500 of the family's 1533-position model. The record is from RNAcentral.